UACGUAGGGGGCUAGCGUUGUCCGGAAUCAUUGGGCGUAAAGCGCGCGUAGGCGGCCCGGUAAGUCCGCUGUGAAAGUCAAAGGCUCAACCUUUGAAUGUCAGCGGAUACUGCCGGGCUAGAGUCCGGAAGAGGCGAGUGGAACUCCUGGUGUAGCGGUGGAAUGCGCAGAUAUCAGGAAGAACACCAAUAGCGAAGGCAGCUCGCUGGGACGUUACUGACACUGAGGCGCGAAAGCGUGGGGAGCGAACAGG
Molecule: ribosomal RNA, 253 nt
Filed under: uncultured bacterium
Lineage: Bacteria
Description: partial 16S ribosomal RNA
Rfam family: Bacterial small subunit ribosomal RNA
Source: RNAcentral